CUAGCUUCUCAAGCAGGGGCAUCUAGAGCCAGUUGUCCAGGACAACAUACAGACCCUGCUGUUUUUCAUUUUGUGCCCAUUGCCUCUUGUCCUGCCACCAGGCAUUCCCAAAAAGAGCCUGGUUCCAUCUUUGCACCAUCCUUUCAGGAGAAGACCUUGUAUUCUGAUUCCACGAGGCAAAGUACUUUUUCACCACUCUUCUGCAGUACUUCAGAUGUCAAGAAUUGGAAGGCAGAGGUGAAGCUUAGUGAGACAUCUGAAACACUACAUCCAGUUUUGAUAACCCAUUGUGAGGAGGACACCAAUAAACUUGGACCAGUUCAGCU
Chiroxiphia lanceolata (lance-tailed manakin) is the source of this 326-nucleotide long non-coding RNA. RefSeq lists it as uncharacterized. The record is from RefSeq and is a predicted model, not a curated record. The transcript has 4 exons. NCBI's taxonomy places the organism in Eukaryota, Metazoa, Chordata, Aves, Passeriformes, Pipridae.